RNAcentral lists this ribosomal RNA (468 nucleotides) under uncultured bacterium. RNAcentral describes it as "partial 16S ribosomal RNA". It matches the Rfam family "Bacterial small subunit ribosomal RNA", at positions 28 to 507 of the family's 1533-position model. The record is from RNAcentral.
GACGAACGCUGGCGGCGUGCUUAACACAUGCAAGUCGAACGGAAAGGCCCUGCUUUUGUGGGGUGCUCGAGUGGCGAACGGGUGAGUAACACGUGAGUAACCUGCCCUUGACUUUGGGAUAACUUCAGGAAACUGGGGCUAAUACCGGAUAGGAGCUCCUGCUGCAUGGUGGGGGUUGGAAAGUUUCGGCGGUUGGGGAUGGACUCGCGGCUUAUCAGCUUGUUGGUGGGGUAGUGGCUUACCAAGGCUUUGACGGGUAGCCGGCCUGAGAGGGUGACCGGCCACAAUGGGACUGAGAUACGGCCCAGACUGCUACGGGAGGCAGCAGUGGGGAGUAUUGCACAAUGGGCGGAAGCCUGAUGCAGCAGCGCCGCGUGCGGGAUGACGGCCUUCGGGUUGUAAACCGCUUUCGCCUGUGACGAAGCGUGAGUGACGGUAAUGGGUAAAGAAGCACCGGCUAACUACGUG